AGUGAACGCUGGCGGUAGGCCUAACACAUGCAAGUCGAACGGCAGCACAGUAAGAGCUUGCUCUUACGGGUGGCGAGUGGAGGACGGGUGAGGAAUAUAUCGGAAUCUACUUUUUCGUGGGGGAUCUAGUAGGGAAACUUACGCUAAUACCGCAUACGACCUACGGGUGAAAGCAGGGGAUUUUCGGCCCUUGCGCGAUUGAAUGAGCCGAUGUCGGAUUAGCUAGUUGGCGGGGUAAAGGCCCACCAAGGCGACGAUCCGUAGCUGGUCUGAGAGGAUGAUCAGCCACACUGGAACUGAGACACGGUCCAGACUCCUACGGGAGGCAGCAGUGGGGAAUAUUGGACAAUGGGCGCAAGCCUGAUCCAGCCAUACCGCGUGGGUGAAGAAGGCCUUCGGGUUGUAAAGCCCUUUUGUUGGGAAAGAAAAGCAGCAGGUUAAUACCCCGCUGUUCUGACGGUACCCAAAGAAUAAGCACCGGCUAACUUCGUG
Molecule: ribosomal RNA, 492 nt
Filed under: uncultured bacterium
Lineage: Bacteria
Description: partial 16S ribosomal RNA
Rfam family: Bacterial small subunit ribosomal RNA
Source: RNAcentral